GUUUAGCCGAGGUUUGUUAACAGGGUCGCCCUCCUCCUGCCUUCCCUUUCUGCCUCCUCCUGCAGUGCUCCAGGGAGCCAAAGCUGUGGCUGAUCCCAUCCUCGGGAAGGGUUUCUCCUGCCAACAGCAGCCACAGCACCGCUCCCCCAGUGAUGGGGACCAUCAGGGCUGGUGCUGGUGGGUUCCAGGGCUGGGAAGAAAAGAAGCUGUGCCCCAUGGUGGAGGUGAGGACACCCAAAAGCUAGGGCUGGAAUAAAGAGAACCGAUGACAUCUGCAGCGUUACCAGCACGUUCCUCAGCCCUCCAGGUCUCCCAGCUUCCAGGACAGCUGUAAGUUAUUCUCGGAGAGCCUACAUCCUCCCAUCCCUCUGGAUUUUCCUACCUUGGCUCCACCGCGUCCCAAAGGGAGGACAACGCUCGUACGGAUCUUCCUCUGGAAGCCUGUUUACCGGAGGACGGGAGCGGUUUUCCAGAUGUUCUGGAGGGAAGUGGCUCCAUCCAGGGACCUGCCCAUCGCGCGCUGCCUGUCCCCGCUAGGACAUCUUUUUCCUCGCGCGGAGGAUGUGUGUGUGUGUUCGGCAGCCGGCCUGGCUCACAGAAGCCUGGACCCGCUCCCAGACACCUUGGCCUAGGCCACGUCCGACGGGCCGCACGCUCGCACAAGCCGCGGGAGGCGGCCUCGGGGGGAGGCCGGCCUCGUGCCAGCCUCGCUGUCGUGCUCCCCAGCUGCGGCACAGACCUCUCUGCUCAUCCAAAAACAUCCCUCCCCAGAUGGAGGCACGCCCGGAGGUCCUGGUCCCUUCCUGGAGAGCCAUCCUGGAUGGCACAGAUGCCCCUGGUGUCCCCCACCUGCUUGCCCUGUUGUCCCCAAAAUGCUCACGUGCACAAUUCCUCCCCAGACUCGGCGUGCUGGCCCACACCAACCCACCGAGGGCACCCGGGCAGAGCGUUGCUCUUCCCAGAACCCAUACCAAGGAGCCUUCUUGGUUGAGAGAACUGAGAAUAAUAAAAGGCAACGCAACGAGCCCGAGCGCGAUAGGAAGCGGGUAGCAGGGCGCUAAAGACGACGGGGGAAAGUCGAUGGCAAGCAGCUGCAGCGCAGAUGCUGAGCAGAAAUGAAAGCCUCCUCUCCGAGGGCAGGCCGUGACGAAGCCGCAGAAGCAGCCUGGGAUGAGUAAAUGGGUUUAUCGCGAAGGGAGGAGGUCGUUUGUCACCUUAGGCAAAACCAGCGUGUCACAAAUGGGAAACUGCAAAUUCUCUGUGACAGUGUGCUGCAGCGGAGAGAAACCACAGAUGAUGCCGAGGAGAGGAGCCAGGACACCGAGGCAUUCAGAGGAAGCCCUGGGCAGGAAGAGAAAGGUCUUGAUCCAACUACAUCCCGUGUUUAGGUUUAAGCAAGUAAACAGUCCCAUUCACGCUCAAGUGCUUUAAUGUUUUAUUGGGCCAGGAUUUCAAAAGUGAUGAAAAGUCUGCAUGAAUCCAGAGCGGAGACUCAGAAAAGAGAGGGGAGAGGAACCGAUCAGUCAGCGCGAGAAGGCUGGAGAUAAGGGAUGCGUCGCAGGCUGCUUUCUAUCAGCGAGGCUUCACCGGGGUUACGCAGCUCCUCAGCAGCGAGGAGCCACAAGUGGCUUCACACGGACUCAGCAGCAGUUAGCAUCUGCAGUAAAUCAGGCGGUUUAAUGGGAUCGGGGCCGGGAAGGCUGCUGAUUUCUUUGGGAAGGAGAGGCGCUGCAGGCUCCUUCGACUUGUCAGUGCUCUCAAUGUCCUCCCAGCCGGGAUGGGCAGGGGCAUGCAGCAGCCAGGCCAUGCCGAUGCUGGAAGGGGCUGGAUGUUCCCAAAAGGGACACUUGGCACACGAGCUGGGGCUGCAGCACAGCCUGAGGACCGAUGUCCUUCCUGCGUACCCGGCAGGCAGGUGUCCCCCCAGCUUCGUGAGGGGUUGUGGGUGCUCUGUGCAUGGCAGUGCCAAAUGGCAUGGGGGAAAAAACGAGACAGCCCUGUGCCUUCUCCCUGCAUUUCCCCAUUUCUCACUGAGUUUUUAGGGUUCUUGCUGCUGUCAGAGCCAGGGGUGAGGGGAUGCAUCCUCCUCCCCACCCCCACUUGUAAAUGGUGAUCACCAUCCGUCCCUCAACGUGUGUGUGUGUGUCUCACCCUCUCCAUCUCCAUGCUCAUGCUCAGGGGAUGCUUGCCAAGGGCGCAGGGCUUCCAUCCGUACCUGCUCUUUCACGGACGUCUGAGUACAGAAGAGCAAGCGCCGGUGAGCAGCUGUCGGCACCAGGUCCCUCCGGACCACGGGACGAGCCGCCCGGCGGGCCGGUCGGGAGCGCCGGUGCCUUUCGGCAUUGUCCUACAGCUCCCGGCCCAAGCCGUGCCGCGGGUUCCCACAGCUGCACGACAAAGGAGAGACAACAGGCUCCUCUGGGGACAAAACCUAAUCUGAGAGAUACCGGGCUGAGAAAG
Anas platyrhynchos (mallard) is the source of this 2460-nucleotide non-coding RNA. The record is from RefSeq and is a predicted model, not a curated record. NCBI's taxonomy places the organism in Eukaryota, Metazoa, Chordata, Aves, Anseriformes, Anatidae.